AGAGCGAACGCUGGCGGCGUACUUAACACAUGCAAGUCGAACGAGGAUCGUCGGGUUAGCAAUAAUUCGGCGGUUCUAGUGGCGUACGGGUGAGUAACACGUGGGCAACUUGCCCUAGAGACCGGGAUACCCUCUCGAAAGGGAGGCUAAUACUGGAUACGUUCUUCGGGUCGCAAGAUCUGGAGAGGAAAGGUGGCGCAAGCUACCGCUCUUGGAGAGGCUCGCGGCCUAUCAGCUAGUUGGUGAGGUAACGGCUCACCAAGGCUAUGACGGGUAGCUGGUCUGAGAGGACGACCAGCCACACGGGAACUGAGACACGGUCCCGACUCCUACGGGAGGCAGCAGUGGGAAUUUUCGCAAUGGGCGAAAGCCUGACGGAGUGACGCCGCGUGGGGGACGAAGGCCUUCGGGUUGUAAACCCCUGUCAGAGGAAGAAGGUGUCGGCGUGAGUAACCGCCGGCACGUUGACGGUACCUUCAGAGGAAGCCCCGGCCAACUCUGUGCCAGCAGCCGCGUAAUC
RNAcentral lists this ribosomal RNA (520 nucleotides) under uncultured soil bacterium. RNAcentral's name for it is "bacterial SSU rRNA". It matches the Rfam family "Bacterial small subunit ribosomal RNA", at positions 26 to 525 of the family's 1533-position model. The record is from RNAcentral.